GAUGAACGCUGGCGGCGUGCCUAAUACAUGCAAGUCGAGCGAACAGAUGAUGAGCUUGCUCCUCUGACGUUAGCGGCUGACGGGCGAGUAACACGUGGAUAACCUACCUAUAAGACUGGGAUAACUUCGUGAAACCGGAGCUAAUACCGGAUAAUAUAUUGAACCGCAGGAUGCAAUAGUGAAACACGGCUUUGCUGUUACUUUUAGAUGGUUCCGGGCCGCAUUAGCUAGUUGGUAAGGUAACGGCUUACCAAGGCAACGUUGCGUAGCCGACCUGAGAGGGUGAUCGGCCACACUGGAACUGAGACACGGUCCAGACUCCUACGGGAGGCAGCAGUAGGGAAUCUUCCGCAAUGGGCGAAAGCCUGACGGAGCCACGCCGCGUGAGUGAUGAAGGUCUUCGGGUCGUAAAACUCUUUUAUUAGGGAAGAACAAAUGUGUAAGUAACUAUGCACGUCUUGACGGUACCUAAUCAGAAAGCCACGGCUAACUACGUG
RNAcentral lists this ribosomal RNA (497 nucleotides) under uncultured bacterium. RNAcentral describes it as "partial 16S ribosomal RNA". It matches the Rfam family "Bacterial small subunit ribosomal RNA", at positions 28 to 507 of the family's 1533-position model. The record is from RNAcentral.